UACGUAGGGUGCGAGCGUUAAUCGGAAUUACUGGGCGUAAAGCGUGCGCAGGCGGCUUUGCAAGACAGAUGUGAAAUCCCCGGGCUUAACCUGGGAACUGCAUUUGUGACUGCAUGGCUGGAGUGCGGCAGAGGGGGAUGGAAUUCCGCGUGUAGCAGUGAAAUGCGUAGAUAUGCGGAGGAACACCGAUGGCGAAGGCAGUCCCCUGGGCCUGCACUGACGCUCAUGCACGAAAGCGUGGGGAGCAAACAGG
Molecule: ribosomal RNA, 253 nt
Filed under: uncultured bacterium
Lineage: Bacteria
Description: partial 16S ribosomal RNA
Rfam family: Bacterial small subunit ribosomal RNA
Source: RNAcentral